Molecule: unclassified non-coding RNA, 458 nt
Filed under: Hevea brasiliensis (rubber tree)
Lineage: Eukaryota; Viridiplantae; Streptophyta; Magnoliopsida; Malpighiales; Euphorbiaceae
Source: RNAcentral
GCCAAUAUCUCUUCAACAGGAAAAAUCAGACUUCCACUAAGUCCUUUUGUUCAAUGGGUUUCGGUUUCCAAAUUACUCAGUUUCCGUUGAUAUAACUUGGGCUAUACUUGAUCUUAUUUUUUUGUAUAUAUAAGAUUCCACAAACAAACAUCAUAAAGGAUCUUACUUUGUUUUUUGGUCUAAACUAUUUUGUGUUGUAUUGCUGAUUUAAUGGGAUUUUCUUUGAAAUCUUUAGGUUUUUCUCUUUCUUCCAGUUCUUCAUUGUUAACCUCAUUCUCUUCAUCUUUGAAUUCUACGCUAACACCCACACCCAAUCAAAAGUUGCAUAAAAGGGGUGUCUCUUUUUCUGAUUCUCCUUCAACUCCUCUAGAAUUCGUUUCCAGAAUUGCUUUCACCACCAACAAGCGAUUUCCUACUCUUAAGGCACAUGCUACCAUUACUCGAACUGAGGAACCAAA